This 593-nucleotide ribosomal RNA is filed under the name uncultured bacterium. RNAcentral's name for it is "bacterial SSU rRNA". It matches the Rfam family "Bacterial small subunit ribosomal RNA", at positions 338 to 948 of the family's 1533-position model. The record is from RNAcentral.
CCUACGGGAGGCAGCAGUGGGGAAUAUUGGGCAAUGGAGGAAACUCUGACCCAGCGACGCCGCGUGCGGGAUGAAGGCCUUCGGGUUGUAAACCGCUUUCAGUAGGGAAGAAGCGAAAGUGACGGUACCUACAAAAGAAGCACCGGCUAACUAUGUGCCAGCAGCCGCGGUAAUACAUAGGGUGCAAGCGUUGUCCGGAAUUAUUGGGCGUAAAGAGCUCGUAGGUCGUUUGUUACGUCGGAUGUGAAAACCUGAGGCUCAACCUCAGGCCUGCAUUCGAUACGGGCAAACUAGAGUUUGGUAGGGGAGACUGGAAUUCCUGGUGUAGCGGUGGAAUGCGCAGAUAUCAGGAGGAACACCAAUGGCGAAGGCAGGUCUCUGGGCCAAUACUGACACUGAGGAGCGAAAGUCUGGGGAGCGAACAGGAUUAGAUACCCUGGUAGUCCAGACCGUAAACGGUGGGCACUAGUUGUGGGAACCUUCACGGUUUCUGCGACGCAGCUAACGCAUUAAGUGCCCCGCUGGGGAGUACGAUCGCAAGNUAAAACUCAAAGGAUUGACGGCNGAGAGNGCGACGACGACGACGAGGAGAG